AUUGAACGCUGGCGGCAGGCUUAACACAUGCAAGUCGAGCGGGGUGAUGGUGCUUGCACUAUCACUUAGCGGCGGACGGGUGAGUAAUGCUUAGGAAUCUGCCUAUUAGUGGGGGACAACAUCUCGAAAGGGAUGCUAAUACCGCAUACGUCCUACGGGAGAAAGCAGGGGAUCACUUGUGACCUUGCGCUAAUAGAUGAGCCUAAGUCGGAUUAGUUAGUUGGUGGGGUAAAGGCCUACCAAGGCGACGAUCUGUAGCGGGUCUGAGAGGAUGAGCCGCCAGACUGGGACUGAGACACGGCCCAGACUCCUAAGGGAGGCAGCAGUGGGGAAUAUUGGACAAUGGGGGGAACCCUGAUCCAGCCAUGCCGCGUGUGUGAAGAAGGCCUUAUGGUUGUAAAGCACUUUAAGCGAGGAGGAGGCUCUUUUGGUUAAUACCCAAGAUGAGUGGACGUUACUCGCAGAAUAAGCACCGGCUAACUCUGUGCCAGCCGCCGCGGUAA
This 503-nucleotide ribosomal RNA is filed under the name uncultured bacterium. RNAcentral describes it as "partial 16S ribosomal RNA". It matches the Rfam family "Bacterial small subunit ribosomal RNA", at positions 30 to 523 of the family's 1533-position model. The record is from RNAcentral.